GCCUUCACUUUUCUAAAUGUUUGUUGGUUAUGUAUGUUAGUUUAAAAUUAUAGAUUAUUUUUCUGAUGUAAUUCCAAACUAUAUGAUAUAGAUGACUAAAGAGUUCUACAUGAAUAUAAAGUUGGAGAGUGAUGAUGAUAUGGCAAAUAAGUUGAUGCUUUUAGGUUCCAAUAUAGUCGUAGCGAGUGACUCUACAUAAAGCAAACACAAGUGA
This 214-nucleotide long non-coding RNA is filed under the name Elaeis guineensis (African oil palm). Its description in RNAcentral is "long non-coding RNA (EGUI_LNC047427)". Lineage: Eukaryota; Viridiplantae; Streptophyta; Magnoliopsida; Arecales; Arecaceae. The record is from RNAcentral.